Molecule: ribosomal RNA, 765 nt
Filed under: Armadillidium vulgare (common pillbug)
Lineage: Eukaryota; Metazoa; Arthropoda; Malacostraca; Isopoda; Armadillidiidae
Description: partial large subunit ribosomal RNA
Rfam family: Eukaryotic large subunit ribosomal RNA
Source: RNAcentral
AGCCCAGCGCGUAGCCUGCAGGCACGCCCCACUAGAUGGGUCACGGGCCUGCGAGGGAUGCCGCGUAUGGGAGGAAUCGUGGGGGAGCUCGCGCGACCUGAAGUAUUUAUUGAAUGUUGUCUCAUUGCCCAUAGAGGGUGUAAGGCCCGUAAGGUCGUCGCGUCGCGUCCCUCGCCGGUUCCUCUCGAGAGUCGGGUUGCUUGAAAAUGCAGCCCUAAGUAGGUGGUAAACUCCAUCUAAGGCUAAAUAUUCCCACGAGACCGAUAGCGUACAAGUACCGCGAGGGAAAGUUGAAAAGAACUUUGAAGAGAGAGUUCAAAAGAGCGUGAAACUACCACGAGGUUAAAGCGAGUGAGCGUUCGUAUCCGAACGGCUGGUAUUCAACCUGCCCCGGACGUUGGCGGCGGAGGGUCGCAAAGCGUACUGAACGGAUCUCCCUUGAGGCCGCGGACUUCGUGUCCCGGUCUCUCGAGGCGACCGGCGUUUCCUCCGUGCGCGCGGAAGGGGGGUGCUCUUCUGGCCGAAGUAGGGCGUCGCGGCCGUUCGAGAGGUGUCGAUGACACGAGGGUCAGGGAAACCGCUUCUUUCAGUUUCGGAUCGGCGUCGUUGUCGUCUAUCAAGGCGGCGGCGGUAGCGCCCCCGUUUCGCGGGAUUAGCGGGGCCGCCUCGUUCCAGUCUGACGGCCUUUCGGACGGUGAAAUCAUGACAAAAUCGCGCCUGUGACGGGGUCGGCGUCCUCUCCCUCUUCUCCUACGGAGAAGAGGC